Molecule: ribosomal RNA, 310 nt
Filed under: uncultured eukaryote
Lineage: Eukaryota
Description: partial 18S ribosomal RNA
Rfam family: Eukaryotic small subunit ribosomal RNA
Source: RNAcentral
CCCUUAGAUGUUCUGGGCGGCCCGCGCACUACAAUGGCGCUUUCAGCGAGUUCCUAUGUUGAAUUUUCCUGGGUAUUCUUGGAAGCGGCGUCUUGACUUGGGAUAGAUCCUUGUAAUUGUUGGUUUUGAACGAGGAAUUCCUUGUAAUCGCGGUUGAUCAGCUCGCGUUGAAUACGUCCCUGCCCUUUGUACACACCGCCCGUCGCUCCUACCGAUGAAUCGUCCGGUGAAGUUCACAUAGUGGCGGUUCGUGGAGUUGCUCGCGAAGUGAAAUGGACCUCACGAUUUAGAGGAAGGAGAAGUCGUAACA